Molecule: long non-coding RNA, 2824 nt
Filed under: Homo sapiens (human)
Lineage: Eukaryota; Metazoa; Chordata; Mammalia; Primates; Hominidae
Description: non-protein coding lnc-NCOR2-3:3
Source: RNAcentral
AGUUUGCUCCUAACUGCCUGCACUUUCACCUCGCUUCUGGGCACUGCUCCCGGGCUCUGGCGGUGCUUUGGCCCCAUGUCCAGGGAGCCUGACCCGCCUGGUGGCUGUGAUUCCCUGGGACAGCCCCUGGGUGACCACUGUGAGUCUGAGCUCUUGCCUUGGGGCAGGACGAACUGGGUGCUCCUCAGACCCAGAUCCGGCUGAGGCUGGGAUAUUGGCUCGAGUGACACCUGGGCUUGGCUUCCUUCCCUGCCCUGUCCUGUCUCCCCUGUGCAGCCUCCCCUGAAGCGCGGGUCUACAAACCUCAUCCCAGGACCCGUUUCUAGGAGACAGUGAGGCUAAGACCCAGUGCCUGCCCGAUGCAUUAACAGAUGGAAUCCUCCUGAGGACCCUAGGAAGCAGGGAGAAACUCUCCACGGGUGCUGAGAUGUCUUUGACACCUCGCUGAGUAAGGUUGGCAGAGCUUCCUUCACAACAGCCGGAAACGGUUUCCAUUGAAAACCUUCCUCAGGCAGCAGGACAGAAAGCAGACUUGGGUGACACCUUUUGUUUCUCUGUGUUCACUUUCACCAUCACCUACUCUUCCGGGGACCCCCUCAUGAACUGCAGGAAAGACGUCUGGCUUUCCUGAAGCCACCAUGCUGAAAUGAACACACAAGCAGGAGAGCGACGCCCGAGGAGGACCAGCUGUUUGAGUCUGCCCAGCCCAGGUGUCAGACUGUAAAUGAAGACGGCAGCCAGAUGACACUGCCAGCCACCAGCCCCUCUGACUGCACCCUCCAAGAGAUCCAGAGCUCAAACCGCCCUGGGGAGCCACUCCCGAGAUCUUACCCCCAGAAACCAUGAGUGGCCAGUGAUGUUCCAGCAGGUGGCUGGGUCCUGCUGUGAGGACAACAUGGAGCAGAGCCCAGGCUUACCUACAAUGGACAUGCAGUGAUGCCAGGGCCUUCUGGAAGUGCCUGUUUGGCAGUUGGAGCUGGCUGGGGGCUGGGACGUAUCUGGACUGUCUGCCACAACACCAACCCACAGCCCCCUUUCGGGCUACUUGGACUUCCUCACAACAUGGCGGCCCUGGGCAGUCAGAUGCUUACACAGCAUCUCAGGGCUAUAGCACGAAGGCACCUGCAUCACCUUCUGUGACCUAGCCUUGGAGGCCACGCAGCGUCUCUUCUGCCACAUUCUAUUAGUUACGGCAGCCCAAGGCCUCUGCGGCCUCUGCAUCAGUCAGCUGGGAAAGCGGCACAGCCCCUGGGACUGUGGCUGGGCCAGCCAGCCUCCACCCAGACAGAGCCCGCAGCAGGCCGUUGAUUCACCGUUCCCCAGCAAAAGCGUCAUCCUGAGUCCCAUGGAAGAGACUGGUUAAUCUCUUACUGUGUAAUUAAUCUCUUACUGUGUACCAGGCACAUGCAUACAUCCCAUAACGCAUUCAGCCUCACACCAUCUACUUUACAAAGCACAUAGCACUACUGUCUUCAUCUGGCAGUUAGCAAACCUGUGGCCCAGAGGGGUGGACCAAUUUACUCAUAGCCACAUAGCUGUCAGGAGCUGAGAUACAAGCCCAGGCGUGGUGGAUCCAAAGCCUCUUGUCCUGGCUGGGCAUAAUGGCUCACACCUGUAAUCUCAGCACUUUGAGAGCCUGAGGCAGGAGGAUUGCUUAAGGCCUGGAAUGUAAUAUCAGCCUGGGCAACAUAGCAAGACCCUGUCUUUAUAGAAAAAAUUUUAAAAAUUGGCCAGGCAUGGUGGUGUGCCUGUGGGCCUGGCUACUUGAGAGGCCGAGGCGGGAGGACUGCUGGAGUCCAGGAGUCUGAGGCUGCAGGGAGCUGUGACUGCGCCAGUGCACUCCAGCCAGGGUGAAAGAGUGAUGCCCUAUCUCAAGAAAAAAAAAAAAAGCUCUUGUCCCAAACCCUAUAUCACCAGGUCCGUAGAAGCAGGAGUGUAUUGAAUCCAUUAGGGAGGCACUUGGCUACAAGUAACAAAAACCUUGGCUCACAGUGGCUUAAAGCAUAAGGUCAUUCAUUGUUUAUUUCGGAGGACAUUGAGAAGCAGGCAUAGCCCAGGUGGGUUCACUAGUUCCUCAGUGUCAGGAUACAGGGCUGGCAUCUCUGCAAUUCUCUUAGCCUUCUCCUCAUGGUGGCACCAUGGCUGCCACAGCUGCAGACAUCACUUCAUCCCACAAUGACAUCCAAAGGCAGGAAGGAAGGUGAGGUGGGAAGGAGGCAAAAGGGACCAAACCUCUCUUCCUGUAACCUUCUCAUUUUCUAGUGAGACCUUUUUCCCAGGAGCCGCCAGCAUACUUCCCUCACGUUUCUGGCCAGAAGUGGAUCACAGGCCUUCCCCGGAUUACUCAGGCCCAGAGGGUGCAAUGUGGUCCCCACUACAUGGUAGACAGGAUUUGAACUAAACAACAGUUCGCUGGAGUGGAAAAUAAAGGAUGCUACAUUUUCUUAUUGUGAUAAAAAAUAUAUAUCAUAAAAUUUACCAUUUUAACAAUUUGUAAGUAUACAGGUUGGUAGCAUUAAGGACAGUCACAUUGUUGUGCAACCACUACCAUCCAUUUCCAGAAUUUUUUCAUCUUCCCAAACUGAAACUCUGUCUCCAUUAAACACCAACUCUCCACCUGGCUCCUGCCAGCCCCUGGCUCCCACCAUUCUACUUUCUGUAUCUGUGGAUUUGACUAUUCUAAGGUUGGACUAGUCCAACCUGUACAUAAAUUGAAUCAUACAGUAUUUGUCCCUUUGUGGCUGGCUUAUUUCACUCAGCACAGUGUCCUCAAGGCUCAUCCAUGUUGUGGCCCGUGUCAGAAUAUCCUUCCUUUUUCAAGGCU